This 76-nucleotide transfer RNA is filed under the name Actinomycetes bacterium. RNAcentral's name for it is "Actinobacteria bacterium tRNA-Phe". It matches the Rfam family "tRNA". Rfam says of the family: Transfer RNA (tRNA) molecules are approximately 80 nucleotides in length. Their secondary structure includes four short double-helical elements and three loops (D, anti-codon, and T loops). Further hydrogen bonds mediate the characteristic L-shaped molecular structure. tRNAs have two regions of fundamental functional importance: the anti-codon, which is responsible for specific mRNA codon recognition, and the 3' end, to which the tRNAs corresponding amino acid is attached (by aminoacyl-tRNA synthetases). tRNAs cope with the degeneracy of the genetic code in two manners: having more than one tRNA (with a specific anti-codon) for a particular amino acid; and 'wobble' base-pairing, i.e. permitting non-standard base-pairing at the 3rd anti-codon position. The record is from RNAcentral. Lineage: Bacteria; Bacillati; Actinomycetota; Actinomycetes.
GGUCGGGUAGCUCAGUUGGUAGAGCGCGCGCCUGAAAAGCGCGAGGUCCGCGGAUCGAUCCCGCGCCCGACCACCG